Small nucleolar RNA from Erinaceus europaeus (western European hedgehog), 123 nucleotides. The record is from Ensembl. Lineage: Eukaryota; Metazoa; Chordata; Mammalia; Eulipotyphla; Erinaceidae.
GUCUGUAGAAAAUCACCUUUAGCCUCUACCUUGGCCAUGGGUGAGAUCCGGCGCCUAAAGCCAGUGGGGCCUCAGCUUACUGCCCGCGCACUGCACACAGGUGAAACCCAGGCCCCUACACAA